RNAcentral lists this long non-coding RNA (1541 nucleotides) under Homo sapiens (human). Its description in RNAcentral is "HSALNT0250142". Lineage: Eukaryota; Metazoa; Chordata; Mammalia; Primates; Hominidae. The record is from RNAcentral.
UAAUGUUGACCUCAUAAAACGAGUUGGAGAGUACUCCUUUCUCUUUCAUCUUCAGGAAGAGACUCUGUAGAAUUGCCAUUAUUUCUUCCUGACAUGUUUGUUGGAAUUCACUAGGAAAGUCAUCUGGAUUGGCAGUUUUAUUUUUUGGAAGCUGCUGCUGCAAUGAUCAGUUCUGCUAGCUCUAUGAAACUUCCUGCCAGUACCACCUGAGCAACUGAUUUCGUUUCUUGCCUCCCACCAAGGAGUGUCUCUGUUGGCACCAUGUGGGAAGCCAUAGGAACCCACUCAGCUUGCAGUCUAGGCAUGCAUAUUCCAAAAGACCAAGGCAGUUAACAACUCAUGAGGUGAACUAUGACCAUUGAAAGACAGAAACAAGUAGAAAGUUCUUUCUCCUCUUUGGCCCCAGAGAAAUGGUCCUGAAAUACAUCUUCAUAAAAUAGAGCAACCAGUUACCUACAGCAGUGGCCAGCUGGUAAUGUUUCCCUUUAUUUGACUUUCUUUCCAUGUCGUCUAUUCCUCAUGAUUCCUUACUUCUGUUCUCUGGACUCACACUCAGCAAGCAGCAUAAUCACCUAGAAGCCUUUGUCCAGAGUCUGCUUUUCUGGGAACCUAUGCUGUGACAUCACACUUUUGCUACAAUGUGGGCAGGAAUGCACAAAAAUAAAUAAAUAAAUAAAUAAAAUUUUAAAAUCCGUGAUUAAAAAACAUAAGGAGAUAGUGAAUUGGCUUUUCUCUAGGAAGGUAAAUAUGAAGAAAGUAAGUAUGUGGUCGUAAGAGGAUUUAAAAAUUAUACUAGAUUUUAUUUGAUAUGGAAUCUUUUUGCCAAACCUGCCAAUGAUUUGAAAGACUUUUCUAUGUAAUCGCCAUGGUCCUGUAUUCCCUUGGGUGCUGGCCUGGUCUUAGCGAGUAAAACUGCAUAGAAAUCACAAGGGGGAUUAAAAUCACAACAGCCAAAUUAACCCAAGCUGACCAUAUUGCUCUGUGCCCUAGGAAAGGUGCUGGAAGCUGGGAAACACUGAUGGAAAAUAACCAAGAAGCUAAGGAGAGAGAUGUUAUUUUUGAACUUUUAAAGAGAACAUUAUAAAUAGCAGAGAAAAUGGAAAAGCAGAAAUUAAAAACAAUAAAAACAAAAGCAAGUUGACAGCAGCUCUUUUAAUAUGACAAUUUUGGUGCUUCUAAGGCCCAGGCUUAGGAACAUAAUAGCAGAGUCCCAGUGAAAUGGCCAAGGACCAUGGGGUUUGAGCACUUAGUCACAAUGGCAUUUUAGGUUAAACAAUCAUUGACUCAGCAGUGAAAAAUGAGAUAAAUUAAAAUUAUUUUCUUCACAACGGCCGAGGGGCUUGGCAAGUAAUAUAUUGAAGAAAUUUCCUGGACAUAAUAGGUUACAUUAAUUUUCAACUGCAGAACAAUUCCUUCAGCAGUAUUUUUCAAGGAGAGAGAAAAGAAGGGGGGAGAAAACCACCCUGUUACUUGUGCUAUUUACUUCUGGCCUAAAUGAGAAAACAUGUUUCAAAGGGAAGAUUAAGAAAGGCGUAUCAAGA